Molecule: long non-coding RNA, 97 nt
Organism: Melanotaenia boesemani (Boeseman's rainbowfish)
Lineage: Eukaryota; Metazoa; Chordata; Actinopteri; Atheriniformes; Melanotaeniidae
Exons: 3
Source: RefSeq, a predicted model, not a curated record
CCACAAUUUUAUUUCUAUUUGUAGGGUUUAAAAUAAAGAAAAACAUCAAACCUUUGCAAAAAGAGAAUAGAGAGACUUUAUCCAUUGGGACCCUGAU